Gasterosteus aculeatus aculeatus (three-spined stickleback) is the source of this 2120-nucleotide long non-coding RNA. Lineage: Eukaryota; Metazoa; Chordata; Actinopteri; Perciformes; Gasterosteidae. The record is from Ensembl.
GGAUCUGACAUCAACGCUCUCAGGCUGACAAUGCCAGGAAGUCUGUCUGACUCAAUUUCUGACUGCAAAAGCAUCCUGUGUCUGCCAUCCCACUGCAAGAGUGUCCGGGUCCACGUCACUGACUGCACCAUCCCACUGCAAGAGUGUCCUGGUCCACCUCACUGACCUGCUAGGCAUAAAACGGUGAAUGUUUCUGACUGAAAAAGCGAUUCCAAUGUUAAAAAGCGCAUGUGUCAUGGUCUAGCUAAAUUAGACUUGCCUAGUUCCCAUGUGUUUUUAUGUUUUAUAUGUGCAACCUGCUGCUAGUAAAGGUUGCUCUUUCCGUUGCUAUAGGUCAGUUGGAAUUUUAGGCCGGUCAGAAAAUAGGGGCAGUACAUGGUCGGUCUCAGCUCAUCACAUUCUUGUUUUAAUAUUUGUUUUGGUUUUGUUUGGCUGAUGGGAUGUGGAGGUCCACUCUACAUUUGCAUUUCUGCACACGAUCCCGGUAAUCAUCAAGAGAACAAGCCCCAUUUAGAUAUGGAGAGAAGACUAAAUCCCUGAAGUCAAGUGCAUUACUAUCGGUGUUCGUCACACAGAAAGCAUUUGAACUCCUACAAGGGACAACUAUCUUCACCAAAUUGGACCUCCGUAACGCCUACCACCUGGUCCGGGUCAAGGAGGGAGACGAGUGGAAGACGGCCUUCAACACACCUACAGGUCAUUAUGAAUAUUUAGUUAUGCCAUUUGUUGUCCAAUGCACCAGCGGUUUUCCAGGGACUCAUUAACGAGGUUCUCAGAGAAAUGUUAAACCAUUUUGUGUUUGUCUAUUUGGAUGACAUUUUGAUUUUCAAAUCCCUUCAUGAACAUGUCCAUCAUGUCAGAGUCGUCCUCCAGCGCCUGCUUGAGAAUCAUCUCUUUGUAAAACCUGAAAAAUGUUCCACGUCUCUGAGGUGUCCUUUUUGGGCUUCAUCCUGUCCAAGGGGAGUCUUCUCACAGAUCCCAAGAAGACUCAAGUUGUUCGGGAUGGGCCCCAACCAUCCUCUGUCCAAGAGGUGCAACGGUUCAUCAGAAACUUCAGUUCUGUUGUCGGCCCUAUGACCGAUCUCACAAGGAAGAAGUCUGGCUCCUUUAAGUGGUCUCCAGCAGCAGAGAUGUUGUGGGGGAUCGUGAGCUUCUGGCUAUUAAGAUGGCCUUGGAGGAAUGGCGCCACUGGCUAGAAGGGGCCCAGCACCCUUUUGUGGUUUGGACGGACCACAAAAAUCUGGAGUACAUUCAGAGGGCCAAAUGUCUCAACCCUAGGCAGGCAAGGUGGGCUCUUUUUUUAAUAGAUUAAUUGAUUUGAUUUUGUCCUUCCGCCCUGGUUUGAAGAACCAAAAGGCCGAUGCACUCUCUAGACUGUUUCACAGACCAGGGGUUGAAAGAGUUCCAGCGUCCAUCCUCCCAUGCUAGAGGAUUGUAGCUCCGGUCCGAUGGGGAGUUGAGACAUUGGUGCGCCAAGCCCAGAAGAGAGAGCCAGAUCCCGGGUAUGGACCCUCCAACCGGACCUAGGUUCUGCAGUGGAGGCACUCUUUGCGUCUGACCGGCCCUCCAGGAAUGGGCAGGACUCUGGAGUUCAUCAACAGGGGGUUCUGGUGGCCGGGAAUGAACAUUUUGAACUUUUGUUGCGGCCUGCUCGGUCUGCGCCAUAAGUAAGAGCAGACCUGCUCCCCCUCUACGUCCAGGACAGAGCGCCUACCUAUCAACGCGAGACCUUCCUCUGCGGGUGGAGUCCUGCAAGCUAGCUCAGCGGUUUGUGGGGCCCUUCAAGGUUGUGAGGAAGGUUAAUCCAUUAGCCUAUCGCCUCUAACUCCCCCGGUCCAUGCGGAUCAACCCAACCUUCCAUGUCUCCCGGCUACGCCCAGUUGCCACGAGCCCACUGGUCCAUCCAGCUAUGACCCCUCCUACCACCAGGAUCAUCGACGGCGGUCCAGCUUAUACGGUCCAACGUCUAAUGGACUGUCGCCGGGUGGGGAGGGGCCUGCAAUAUCUGGUGGACUGGAAGGGCUAUGGUCCGGAAGAACGGUCCUGGGUUCCUUCCCGGCUUGUACUCGAUCCAACCCUCAUCAGGACCUUCCACCAAAGUCAUCCAGAUCACCCUCGAG